GGAGAGGCCUCCGCAGGGAGAGGAAACUAAUGAAGACAACGGGGAGAUGGAGGAAGGAACCAGAGAUGUUCAAAGACUAGAUCGUGGGUCAGAUGGUAAUGACUCUAACCUAAGGCAGGGAUGAUGGCAGAAAGAUGCCUUCACAGGACAAACUGAGCCUAGCGCUCAACACCCCCACCUGGGGAAAGUGACACCUGCAUGGGAACUUAUCCAUGGGUACCACCAGACCCAAAGGACCUCUAUCUUCAAGUAAACCCUACGCUCCCCAAGCAGACAGUGUCAUUUCGGUGAAUGUCCUAACAGCAAAACAAAUUUCUUCUCCGGGGAAUGGUCUUCACAAAUUAUUGCCCAGAGAGUGAAUAAUUCUUCUCUAGUCAGUGGCUAACAGGGAAAUUAUCUAUGUGCCUCUGGACUUGUUCUUGUAUCACAGUGAAUAAACUGGUCCAACCCAAACUGACACAUCCACAAACUCCCUUUGUGAUCCUAGGUAAGAUUUUAGAUGGCAUUUGUCAAUGUAAAAAAUAAAAAUAAAGAACAUAAUGUAAUCAAGUUGCUUUCACACACAACCUAGUUGGUUUUGGCCAAUUAGGAUAUUGGUAGGCUCCUUCAUUGAGCCCAGACCAGAGUACCAUCAGUCCCAGGACUCUAAAAGCCAUCUGUCUUAGUCCCUUUUGUGUUGCUAUAACACAGUAUCUGAGGCAGGGUAAUCUGCAAAGAGAAGAGGUAUUUAAUUCAUGAUUCUAGUGUCUGCGAAGUCCAAGAGCAUGGUGCCCAUGGCUUCUGGUGGGAGCCUUGUGCUGUCUCACAACAUGGUAGAGAAGUAGGAGGGGAAGUGGGCCUUGUGAAAGAGAAGCCAAACAGGAGAGGUGGCCUCACUUUAUAAAAUCCACCUUCUUGGAAAGCAACCCAUUCCCAGGAGAACUCACUCCUGAGAGAUGGCAUUUAAUCUCUCCAUGAGGGUCCCUCGUGGACCAAACACCUCCCACCACUCAACACCAUUACACUGGGGACCAAGCCUCAGUGAGUUUUGGUGAGGACCAACCAUACCAAACCAUAGCACCACUGGAACAACAAGAUUGAGAAUGGCUAUCACAACAUGGAAAUCCUAACCCAUUUUCCUAGAAAUAUACUCUCUCAUUCAUCCCAAUAGCUCUGCAGUCCCCACAACCUCUACUUAUCGUCCUCUGACCCACAACCCC
Molecule: long non-coding RNA, 1199 nt
Filed under: Homo sapiens (human)
Lineage: Eukaryota; Metazoa; Chordata; Mammalia; Primates; Hominidae
Description: HSALNT0131910
Source: RNAcentral